This 501-nucleotide ribosomal RNA is filed under the name uncultured bacterium. RNAcentral describes it as "bacterial SSU rRNA". It matches the Rfam family "Bacterial small subunit ribosomal RNA", at positions 29 to 518 of the family's 1533-position model. The record is from RNAcentral.
AUGAACGCUAGCUACAGGCUUAACACAUGCAAGUCGAGGGGCGAGCAGGAUUGUGCUUGCACAGAUGCUGGCGACCGGCGCACGGGUGAGUAACGCGUAUCCAACCUUCCCCAUAGUAGAGGAUAGCCCGGCGAAAGUCGGAUUAAUACUCUAUGUUGUGUCAUGAGGACAUCUGAAUAACACUAAAGAUUUAUCGCUAUGGGAUGGGGAUGCGUCUGAUUAGGUAGUCGGCGGGGUAACGGCCCACCGAGCCGACGAUCAGUAGGGGUUCUGAGAGGAAGGUCCCCCACAUUGGUACUGAGACACGGACCAAACUCCUACGGGAGGCAGCAGUGAGGGAUAUUGGUCAAUGGGCGCGAGCCUGAACCAGCCAAGUAGCGUGCAGGAUGAACCUGCCCUAUGGGUUGUAAACUGCUUUUAUCAGGGAAUAAAGUGAGGCACGUGUGCCUUUUUGUAUGUAUCUGAUGAAUAAGGACCGGCUAAUUCCGUGCCAGCAGCGGC